Molecule: transfer RNA, 69 nt
Filed under: Dipodomys ordii (Ord's kangaroo rat)
Lineage: Eukaryota; Metazoa; Chordata; Mammalia; Rodentia; Heteromyidae
Rfam family: tRNA
About the family: Transfer RNA (tRNA) molecules are approximately 80 nucleotides in length. Their secondary structure includes four short double-helical elements and three loops (D, anti-codon, and T loops).
Source: Rfam by way of RNAcentral
GGAAUGUGGCUCAGUGGUAGAGUGCCUGCCUAGCAUGCAUGAAGCCCUAGGUUCGAUUCCUUAGUACCA